GAACUCUGGUAUUGAUUGGUGCUUGCAUCAUGAUUUACAUUUGAGUGAGUGGCGAACUGGUGAGUAACACGUGGGAAACCUGCCCAGAAGCGGGGGAUAACACCUGGAAACAGAUGCUAAUACCGCAUAACAACUUGGACCGCAUGGUCCGAGCUUGAAAGAUGGCUUCGGCUAUCACUUUUGGAUGGUCCCGCGGCGUAUUAGCUAGAUGGUGGGGUAACGGCUCACCAUGGCAAUGAUACGUAGCCGACCUGAGAGGGUAAUCGGCCACAUUGGGACUGAGACACGGCCCAAACUCCUACGGGAGGCAGCAGUAGGGAAUCUUCCACAAUGGACGAAAGUCUGAUGGAGCAACGCCGCGUGAGUGAAGAAGGGUUUCGGCUCGUAAAACUCUGUUGUUAAAGAAGAACAUAUCUGAGAGUAACUGUUCAGGUAUUGACGGUAUUUAACCAGAAAGCCACGGCUAACUACGUGCCAGCAGCCGCGGUAAUACGUAGGUGGCAAGCGUUGUCCGGAUUUAUUGGGCGUAAAGCGAGCGCAGGCGGUUUUUUAAGUCUGAUGUGAAAGCCUUCGGCUCAACCGAAGAAGUGCAUCGGAAACUGGGAAACUUGAGUGCAGAAGAGGACAGUGGAACUCCAUGUGUAGCGGUGAAAUGCGUAGAUAUAUGGAAGAACACCAGUGGCGAAGGCGGCUGUCUGGUCUGUAACUGACGCUGAGGCUCGAAAGUAUGGGUAGCAAACAGGAUUAGAUACCCUGGUAGUCCAUACCGUAAACGAUGAAUGCUAAGUGUUGGAGGGUUUCCGCCCUUCAGUGCUGCGGCUAACGCAUUAAGCAUUCCGCCUGGGGAGUACGGCCGCAAGGCUGAAACUCAAAGGAAUUGACGGGGGCCCGCACAAGCGGUGGAGCAUGUGGUUUAAUUCGAAGCUACGCGAAGAACCUUACCAGGUCUUGACAUACUAUGCAAAUCUAAGAGAUUAGACGUUCCCUUCGGGGACAUGGAUACAGGUGGUGCAUGGUUGUCGUCAGCUCGUGUCGUGAGAUGUUGGGUUAAGUCCCGCAACGAGCGCAACCCUUAUUAUCAGUUGCCAGCAUUAAGUUGGGCACUCUGGUGAGACUGCCGGUGACAAACCGGAGGAAGGUGGGGAUGACGUCAAAUCAUCAUGCCCCUUAUGACCUGGGCUACACACGUGCUACAAUGGAUGGUACAACGAGUUGCGAACUCGCGAGAGUAAGCUAAUCUCUUAAAGCCAUUCUCAGUUCGGAUUGUAGGCUGCAACUCGCCUACAUGAAGUCGGAAUCGCUAGUAAUCGCGGAUCAGCAUGCCGCGGUGAAUACGUUCCCGGGCCUUGUACACACCGCCCGUCACACCAUGAGAGUUUGUAACACCCAAAGUCGGUGGGGUA
RNAcentral lists this ribosomal RNA (1403 nucleotides) under Lactiplantibacillus plantarum. RNAcentral's name for it is "partial 16S ribosomal RNA". It matches the Rfam family "Bacterial small subunit ribosomal RNA", at positions 64 to 1437 of the family's 1533-position model. Lineage: Bacteria; Bacillati; Bacillota; Bacilli; Lactobacillales; Lactobacillaceae. The record is from RNAcentral.